GUUCAGUGCGUUACAUCAUUUGCUGCACGCAAAUUUCGCCACGGUCAGAUGUACUGCGCAAUGAUUGGCCUUAAGCGUGUAGGAACCAUCAAGAAAUACUUCAAAGGCGUGGAUGACGUGACGUUUUACAGCGCCACACGCGAAGAACUAAUCGACUUCCUGAAUCACGGGAGAUAAACAUGUUAUAUGCAUUUACGCUGGGCAGGAAACUGCGCGGUGAGGAACCUUAUUAUCCUGAAAAAGGCGGGAAAGGUGGCAGCUCUGAUAAAAGCGCAAAG
Molecule: unclassified non-coding RNA, 278 nt
Filed under: uncultured fungus
Lineage: Eukaryota; Fungi
Description: partial internal transcribed spacer 1
Source: RNAcentral